Panthera uncia (snow leopard) is the source of this 1807-nucleotide long non-coding RNA. RefSeq lists it as uncharacterized. The transcript is spliced from 2 exons. Lineage: Eukaryota; Metazoa; Chordata; Mammalia; Carnivora; Felidae. The record is from RefSeq and is a predicted model, not a curated record.
CCCGCUCUCUGGGGGGCAGUGGCCCCGACGACCCCGCUCCCCCCGGGGACACACGCAGCUCCCGCUGGCUCCUCGCUGGGCUCCCUGAGCAAACGCCCUGCACAGCGUCCCCAGCCAAGGGGGCUCGCAGCCCCACCGACCCACGGGCGCGGCGAAGCCCAGAGAUGUUAAGUGACCCACCGAGGUCACACAGCCAGGAUCUGGUGGGCCUGGAAUUCUAGCCCAGCCGCGCGGGGCCCCAAGGGCUGUUCUCUUCUCCGUGGCAGUUGGGUUCCCAAGCCAGCCCCAGACCCUGUUAGAAGCACAAGAACAUGGAAUAAAUAGACGAAGGUCAUUAUUUCCUGAUGGCUGACUGUGACAGGCACCAAGGCAGAUACUGCGCAUGGUUACUUGCAUUGAGGCCCGGGUCUAAGGCUUUCCAUCAUUAUCAUAACACAUUACGGGAUCUCGGAGCCGUGAUCUGACCCCAGAGCCCAUGCCCCGUCCACAUGGGUCUCCGCUGUCUGCCCAGGCCAGGGCACAGCCCCACAGACACGCUCAGGAAGUAUUUGUGGAUGAAGAAGUGAAUGAACCCAUGAAGGCUGCUUUCUCCCCCACCAGGCUGGGACCUCCUUGAGGGCACGUGGGGUUUCUCCACUGCUGGACCCACAUCACCCCCGCAGAGAGUUGGGCUGGGACACGGAGCUGCCGAGUGUGUGGAGGGAGUCACGGCUCCUCUCUGGACUCGACUCCCCACCCAAGCGACGAGGAAGGCAGCAAGCUGUCCCAGCUGGUCAUGCCAACACACUGCAGGAGCGUGGAGAAGCUGGGACUGGCUGUGCUCAGGCCCUGGGGUCCAUCCCAGCCUCUUCCCACGUGGCCUUCUGUCCCCCUGGCCCCAGGAUCUCAGGUCCCCAACCUUGUCUCAGGCCCCUCUUGCCCCAGGAUCUGGUUUGGAGGAACGGGUUUCUCAGCCCCAUGUGACUAUUCUCUGCACCCCUGCCCCACACAUCCCAACCCAGGGUGGAGGGGACUUCACUGCUGCUUCUUCCACCCACCCAGGUCCCCGCCUGGGGACAGGGACAGACAGAGCGGUCCAUGUUAUUGCUGUUAUCCCUGGGGGACUGUUCAGACGCCAACUAAUUUGUUUCACUCUUGCCCCCUCCCUUAUUGAUCAAUGCUGUAACCGAGCGUUGUGUUAAAUGACUUGUUGCCAUGGUAACCAUCAGAUACACGCACAGAUCUGAUGUGCCUGUUUCCUGAGCCAGAUCGCCUCCUAAGAGCUCGCAGGGAGCAAAUCUCCUUUCAUAUCCGCCGCUGUUUUCUCAAAGGCACAGGAUAUUGUUCAGAACAAGGCAUUUUUAAAAACAAUAUUAAAAAAAGAACUUAACCAGGUUUCUCAACAGAUAUAAAGCUGUUUCAUAAGGUAUGUCACUCUUAAAAAAUAUGAAAUCAGAUUUGAAAAGGAAACCUUUGACCAAGUGCAUCUUCCUUCUGAGACUCUCUCCUUAGGAAAUAAGCUGAAAUAUGGACACAGGGCCCCGUAUAACUGACAGCAGCUGUGACAUUUACAAAGAGAGAAAUGGAAAACAGCCUCAAAGUUCCACAGGAGAAGAUUCAAGUAAGCUGUGGUUCGCACACUGGCAGGAUAUUAUAGAGAUGUUUAAAAUGCUACAUAGAAGAGGGAAGCAUAUGUGUCAGAUGAUGUGGAAUGAAAGAAACAUGAUAGGAAACUGUGUCUGCCAGGAGAUCAUAAUGAAUGUAAACAAACCUAAGCGAUGCAAGAAAACUACUCGGAGAAAAUACACACACCAAAAUGUUGACAGAG